GCUGACACAUUCCAGCCAAUCAGCAGCAGACCCUCCCUCCCACACCCUCCCACCUCCUGGACAGCUCACUAAGAAUUCAGCUUCAAAAUGGAUGCUGUCCAGGAGUUGGGAGGGUCUGGGAGGGAGGGUCUGCUGCUGAUUGGCUGGAAUGUGUCAG
Pelobates cultripes (western spadefoot toad) is the source of this 157-nucleotide non-coding RNA. The record is from the annotation of a GenBank genome assembly. Lineage: Eukaryota; Metazoa; Chordata; Amphibia; Anura; Pelobatidae.